GGAGAUGGUGGAGGUGGAGAUUGGAGGAAGAGAGUUGUAGUAGUAGUAGGGUGAAUGAGGCUUAGGAGAUGGUGGAGGUAGAGAUUUAUAGUAUUAAGAUGUUUGAGAAUAAAUACGUAUGUUGAAGAUCUAAUUUAUUAUGUUAUUAAUUUGUAAAAAAUUAUUCUUUAUUUUAUUAUCAUAUUCAUUAUUAAAUUGUUAAUUUGAUAAGUCAUUGAUUAAAAUUAGAUGUUUGUUAUCAUGAUAGAGAUUAUGAUAAUGAGAAACAAAUUUUUUAUAAUUUUAAUUCAAAUUAUUCUUGAUAGUAUGAUUAUCGUGAAUAGGACAUCAAUAAUCAUGAUAGAUUAAUAUAUAUGUAAUGAUCUUUAUUGAAUAAAGAUUAAUAAAUUUUUAUUGAAUAAUGAUCUUUAACACGAGAUUAUCAUAGUAAUUAAUAAGUUAUUGGUAUAUUUUAAUUUCGGAUGCCUAAUGUCUUAGAACACUAGUUGAAUGAAUAUUAGAUAUGAUUAAAUACUUGUAAAAUUAAUGAUUAAUCAAGAAGGAAUCCAUCAAUUCUAGGUAAUGAGUUUGAGUUCUAUUUUAGAAUUAAGACAUUGACUAAGGCAAUUGAAUGAAAGAAGAAAAUAGUUUCUUAAGUCAUUCAUGUGUUAGCUUAUUAGAGUUUGACAAUAAUACUAUACUCUAGAGUUAACCUAUGAUGGAAGCAAAUAUUAUAUUCUUCUUCUAUUGGUUCUCGAAGGGAAAAAGAUUUUGUUUCAGGUUAUCCGGACUUUAAGGAGUGUUGUUAAACGCCUAACUUGAUUAAUAAAUUAAUUAUGAUUAAUUUAUUAUCAAUUUAGUAUUGAACCUACAAGGUCACACACAAACGAGUAUUUCAAUAUUUACAAAAGAAAAUAAUUUAUUUUGAUAAUUAAAUUAGAGAAUUUAAUUUAAUCAAAUAAAUAUUUUAGUGAAAUAUUAUUAUAUUUUUUGCUAGGACCAAUAAUAUAAUUAAUAUAUAAAAAGGGAAUAUUAUUUUAUAAUUGUGAAGAUGUCCAUAAAAUAAGAAUAAUAUUCAAUUGCUAUGUAUCAAGGAUGUGAUUAAUUAUUGUAAUUAGUUAUGUGAUUAAUUAUGAAUUAUCUUUAUCUUAAAUCAGUAAGCUUCUUAAAAUAAAAUAUAUGAGAUAAUAUUUUUUUUAUAAAGACAAAUAUAAAUGAAAUUAUUUUAUAUAUUUUCUUUUUUUUCUCACCCAAAUCCAUAUCUCUUUAAUAUUAUGAAUAAAAGUAUCUAUAUGAGGCAAAGCGUACUAAAUAAAGACUGAAAAAGGUUCAAGUCUAGUUUUAGACGUGAAAAGUAGAAAAAAAAUUAUUCUUUAGAGUUUCAUCCAUCAAAGAAUUUGAUAAUAAAGAUUGACCUGAGUAUAGAUACAAGUAGAGUUUUUAGACUAUUAAAAAAAAUGUGUUGCUUCAAAACCUACAUUUUGAUGCAUUAAUUUAUUAUUUAUUUAUUUAUUAUUAUUGUAUAUUUUGAAUAUAAAAUAAAUCCUAAUUUUUUUCCUACAAUUAUUAGAAACAUUUUUAUGUAACUAUCAUACUACACACACGAGGAUAUGAGGAUAUGGUGAAUGAGGUGGUGGAAACUUAUAAUAGUAAGUUGGAAGAGAUGGUGGAGGAGAAGAUUUGUAGGAAUAAGGUAUUGGACGACUUCAUUUUGUGGAAAGAGUCAUGAUUUAAUUUGUUUUUCCUCUCCUUCUCUUAAAAUUUAGUUAUGCCCGUAUAUCUUAUUGAAAACCACAUUUUUUUAGUCUUUCUGGACUGGAUACCCCUACCCCUGGCCAUGAUCAUAAUUCAUAACUAUUAUAUAUAUAUUACACGUAUUUUAUUUGUAACAAAUGGUAUAUCGAUGAGUUUUCUGAAUGUUUGAUCACAUGGAAAAUUUCUGAACGCGUCCUAGAGACUGAAACAGUUUUAUUUGCGCAAUAUAGAGUGUCGGUUUACUAAAAGAACGCACAGAUAGAUAUAUAUCUAUUCCAAAAUGAAGCGUAUGUAUACACGGAAUGAAAAAUGAUUAGUAAUAAUAAAUUAAUUUUACGAAAAUUUAUAAUUCUUUUAUUUUUUAUCUCUCUUAGUCGUUAAAAAGAUUAUGUAAAAUAUUGUAUGAGGACAGUUUCUUAAUAGAAACAUUCUAAUGCAUGUGAUACGUACGGAAUUAUUAUAAUUACAGUUGCACGAAGUAUAUUAUUAAUUAAUAUUCUCCUGUUAACAACCUUUUUUAUUGAGUAGUGUUUUUUCAUUGGAGGAAAUCCUUAAAUAUAUUUUUGGUGAAUCUAAGUUUACUUAAGCGGUACAUUAAUUAGAAAAAAAUAUUUUUUCCCCUAUUUUGUUUAUAUAAGUAAAAAAGUGAGAAUUAUAUGAACGUGCGAAGUGUGUGUAUGAGAUAAUAUUUGUUUUACAUAAUAUACCCUAAAUCAUAAAAGAAGCUUCACUGUGUAACUUAAAUUAAAAUUUGUAUAUCUCCCCCAUGUGCGUCUGACUACUGUUACCAUGCAUAUUCUAAUUAAGAACCCUGUUAGUGCCUUUCUUCUUUUUAUCCUCUUUCCUUCAUGAUCACCAUUGUUAAAUGGCAGUCAAUUCCAUGUACGUAUUGCAUCUCUGAAUUCAAGUCUAGCUGUCUCAUCGAGUUUAAUUUGUGAUAAUUGGUCUCAAGUAAAAAAGACCACUAAUUUGAUCAUUAAAUAUAUAUAUAUAUAUAUAUAUAUAUAUAUAGACAUAUAUAUAUAUAUAUAUAUAUAUAUAUAUAUAUAUAUAUAUAUAUAUAUAUAUAUAUAUAUAUAUAUAUAUAUAUAUAUAUAUAUAUAUAUAUAUAUAUAUAUAUAUAUUGAACAAUGCUAAUUAAAUACCAUAUAUAGUCAGAAAUAGAUCAGUGGGGGGUGCAUGUAUGUUAAGUUAGAAAGAGAUAAGAUCGUGGUUGUGGCAUAUAGACGUGCAUGGGGUGGUGUGGCUUAUAUGAUAUGAGAAAAUCAAGUAAUUGCAGGCAUUUUUUUUAAAAAAUAAAAUGACUUCAUUAAUCGUCUCCAACAUCAGUUAUAUAUAUUGACAUGUUUUUUAAAAUAAUCAAAACUGUCUCGCUCCCAAAUCCCUCUCACUUCUUUUCUUCCCUCUCACUGGCUUAGGGAUUUUCACUUUCGAAAAACAUGACUUAGGCCAUAAUUGAAGCCAUUAGACAGUAAUAUAUCAUAUGAGCAGGGGCCAAUCCAAACUCAAAUGGCUGUGAGGACCGAUAAUAAAAAAUAAAAUUCAUCUAACACAUCAUAAAAAUAUAUAUUCAUAAAUUAAUGUUUUAAAAUGUUAAUUACAAUAAUAAUCUAUUAAAACACGGGACCUUAUUCUUAUAUGUACUAAAUUUUUUAUCAAUUCUUCAAUGUAUAUUAACAAAAUGUGAAUCAAGAAUCCAUCUUUCAUCUUCUUUAAUAAUUAUAGAUUAACAAAAUUUGAGAAAAAUAAAACCUACUAUAUAAUAAGUAGAAUUAGUCAAAUAUAAUAUUCGGAUAAGAUAUUUUACAAAAAAAGAAAUAAAAUUACUAUUGAUUUUAUAAUUUAAAAUUACAGAAAAUAAAAAUUGAUGGUAUAAUAACAAAAAUUGUUAAAAAAUAAUAUUUAAAUAUUUUUUUUAAAAAAAGACAAAAUUGCUAUUGAUUUUAUAGUUUGAAAAAAAAGAGAUAAAAACAAUUAUAUAAAUUGAUGGAUUUGAAUCCAUCCAUUUUUUUUUAUGGAUAAAUUAGAUGAAUUUAUUGUGGAUGAAUUAAUUGGAUAAUGGAUAAAUGAAUUCAUUUGUCACCACUAGCCUGGGACCUAGUCAUGUCCACCAUAGUGGAAAAGUUAUUUUGACCAUUGGAUUUAAAUUUUUCUUGAGAUAAGUGCAGGCUUAUCUUAAGACAAGUUACACUGGAUUAUUAUUAUUAUUAUUAUUAUUAUUAUUAUUAUUUUCCUUAAAAAGUGUUAUUCUUUCCUGUUCUAGUUUAUCGCCCCUUUCUUUCUCUCUCCGACUCUCCCUUCCAUCUACUUAUUCUCCUCCUCCCCUUUUUCAAAAUGUCAUGCUUCUUCGGUGACCUCAACAACUUCUUUGUCAUCAAGCUCCUCGUCGGACACGUAGUUAGCUAUGGUAGGAUUUGAAUACGAAAGAAUGGGCUUCAACGUCCACAAAAUGCUGAUUGGUGCGAUUGUUACUUUAAUGCAAGUGUAGGUAGGUUUGGAGCUUUGAUGUAGGUUUGGGAUAUGUGUGUGUGUGUGGAAAGAAACACGACCUAAAUUUAGGGGAUAUGUAGAUUAUUAUGCUUUUUUAUGCAAAUAUUGACAAAUUUAUUGCAAACAACACAAAAAGAUAUAUUAAAAGAAUUUCACAAUAAUUUGAAUGAAAUCAUACACAAUCAACCAUAUUAAUCUACAAAGAAACAAAUAAGAAAGCUCUAAAAGCAGCCUGAAUUGAUAUCAACAUUUCUAAUCUUGCUUCCUUGUCUUGAAUCUUUUUGAUUUGUCGCUUCCUUGAACUUAGUAAGAACAACACUUGAAAAAUGGCCACCAAAUAAAUAGAAGCAACCUCAUAUGAGUCAUGAAGAUCGUAGCUUAGAGGUGAUACACUCAGACUCUUAUUCAAAGAACUUGUAUAACAAAUUAUAUGCUUAACUCUGCUCCAAAUGGAACGGAAAUUUAUUCCACAAUGAAUACUAGAACCUGAAAUAAAAUAAAAGUUUUCAAUACUUCUCAGAGUUUAUAAAUGCAUAUAAAAUAGACAUUUAUCUANNNNNNNNNNNNNNNNNNNNNNNNNNNNNNNNNNNNNNNNNNNNNNNNNNNNNNNNNNNNNNNNNNNNNNNNNNNNNNNNNNNNNNNNNNNNNNNNNNNNNNNNNNNNNNNNNNNNNNNNNNNNNNNNNNNNNNNNNNNNNNNNNNNNNNNNNNNNNNNNNNNNNNNNNNNNNNNNNNNNNNNNNNNNNNNNNNNNNNNNNNNNNNNNNNNNNNNNNNNNNNNNNNNNNNNNNNNNNNNNNNNNNNNNNNNNNNNNNNNNNNNNNNNNNNNNNNNNNNNNNNNNNNNNNNNNNNNNNNNNNNNNNNNNNNNNNNNNNNNNNNNNNNNNNNNNUGGUGAUGGUGAUGGUGGCGGGGGAGAUUUAUAGUAAUAUGGAGGAGGUGAUGGUGAUGGUGGAGGAGGGCUCUUGUAGUAAUAAGAAGGUGGGGGAGGAGAUUUGUAAUAGUAUGUUGGUGGUGGUGGAGGUGGUGACUUAUAGUAGUAAGGAGGGUGUGGGUGCGGUGAGGGUGAAGGGGGUGGGGGAGAGUUGUAAUAAUAUGGUUUGUGAUAAGGAGUAGGGGAAGGCUUGGGCUUGGGCUUUUCGCAAUCAUAUGACUUUUCAGGAGCAUAAGCAAAUGGCUUAGCCUUGAGCACAACUUCAUACUUAUCCUUGGACUUCACCUUCAAUUUGGUUCCCUCAUUAAGCUUGGUGGGUAUGUUACAGCGUGAAUCCUUAGGAGGAGCAUGGAGUUUAGCCUUGCAGACUGUGGCUCCAUAUUUCACAUAGUCAAAGCCUUCAACAGUGAUGCUGUACUUUCCAUUGCUCUUAGUUUUACCAUAAGCUUUUAUGGUCUUGCUCCCAACUUCACAAGUCACUUCGACCGUGGCACCUAAUUAACGAUGCCAUUAAAUGUGUGGAUCGCACAUGUUAUUGACAAAUCAAUCUAACAUAUAAAACCAUGACAUUAUUGUUUUCUUUAAUUUUAACGGAAGGAAAUGUUUUGUGAACACAAAAUGGGAUAAUAAAGUUAUUUCUUAUAACAUUAUGAUGUGUUUUUAAAACACGUGUACGAAAAAAAAGAAGCAUGUGUUACAUUAAUAAAUCUUUAUUUUUAAAGGUUUAAAUAAUAUAAAUAAAAUUAAAAUAGUUAACCUAUCCUAGCUUUUUCAUAUUUUGAUUGUUGGCUUCAUUGAUUACAUAAGAAAUAGUCGAUUCUAAACAAUAUUUUCUAUUUUCCAACAAAAAUUGUAUUUUUUUUUAUUGAAAUUCCAACUAAAGUCCUCUUCAAAAAAAAAUUGACAACUUUCUGUUUGAAAAGGGUAAUAUAGGUACUUUAAAAAGUAGUAUAUGUUUAGGUUGGUCAUUUGUUUAAUUAGUUAGCAUAGAUCAAGAUUCUCAAAAAUAUUUUUUUGUUAAAAUAUUUUCUCAAAUUGAAACAUGUUUUAUUUCUUAAUUGAAAUGAUAAUUACAAAAAAAAACUAGUUGACUAAAUAAAAAAAGGAGAAAUUAUAACUGUAAAAUUAUUUUAUAUUAGUUUUUUUUACAAAUUUUAUAGAGAAAAGAAAAAAAUGAGAAAAUAUCAAAUAAUUAAAUGAUUUAAUAGAAAAAAUAAAAAAAUAUGACUAAAAUACUAUAAGAAUAUUAUAUUGUAUUAAAAACAACUGUUUAUGUAUAAAUGCAGUUGAACUUCUCUAGACACAACAACACACACAUAACAAUAUCGAUGUAAUUAUACAAAUAAAAAUAUGAGCUUGAAAAAGAAAAAUUAAUUAAAGAAACAUAUAUGGCAGCCAAUGUCCCAAAUUAAAAUUUUGAGAAAAACAAAAGUACAGAUUAAUAUUACCAAAAAGUAACAUUUUUGAAGUAUUCAUAAUAUUAUUAUUGUGAAUGUAUUAGAAUGAAAUAGUAAAAAAAUAAAAGUAAUGUAGGUACCUUUGAGGUGUUUCUUGUUGUGCGACUUUUGGGGGUAUUUCCAGUCAUAACAUCUAUAACAAUAGACUUUACCCACAAUCUUAACAAUCAAUGGGUGAUGAUAUGGGUGAGGGUGAGGAUAUGGAGUGUAUGGAGGAGGCUUAGGAGAUGGUGGAGGCAGAGAUUUAUAGUAGUAAGGCACAUGAGGAGGAUACGGUGAAGGAGGAGGUGGAGACUUAUAAUAGUAAGGUGGAGGAGGUGAAGGAGAUGGUGGAGGAGGAGAUUUGUAGUAGUAAGGUGGUGGAGGAGAUGGUGAAGGAGGAGGCGGAGACUUGUAGUAAUAUGGAGGAGGGGGUGAGGGAGAUGGAGGAGGAGGAGAUUUGUAGUAGUAUGGUGUUGGAGCUGGGUGACUUCUCAGGUGGGGGAGGAGACUUGUAGUAGUAUGGUGGUGGUGGUGAUGGUGAAGGUGGUGGUGGGGACUUGUAGUAGUAAGGAGGUGGAGGUGAUGGAGAGGUGGUGGCGGGAAUUUAUAGUAGUAAGGAGGG
Molecule: long non-coding RNA, 7214 nt
Filed under: Glycine max (soybean)
Lineage: Eukaryota; Viridiplantae; Streptophyta; Magnoliopsida; Fabales; Fabaceae
Description: long non-coding RNA (GMAX_LNC001883)
Source: RNAcentral